UUCACCAAAACCCCUUAAAAUUAAUAUAUAUACUCCAAACCAUAUUCCCAAUUAUUCCCAACAACACCCAAUCCAAAAAAAUAAUAAUUUUUGAAAACUCAAAUUAGAAUUCAAAGCUUUUUAAUGACGGUCAAUGGUGGAGUUGCUGCUCUCCAUUCCUUUCCUCUUCUAUUACUGAAAUUUGGGAUUGCGAUAUAGAGAGAGAGUAGAGGAAUUCUCAAAUCCUUGCAACAGCAUCCAAUCCAAACAAACAAUGUCUUUUGAAAAUCCAAAUUCGAAUUCAAACCUUGGCUAUGGAAGAAAUAAUGGGAUUUUGAUAAAAAAAUUGUAGGUCUGGGAAGGAAACGUGGGUGAAGA
This 357-nucleotide long non-coding RNA is filed under the name Nicotiana benthamiana. RNAcentral describes it as "long non-coding RNA (NBEN_LNC024067)". Lineage: Eukaryota; Viridiplantae; Streptophyta; Magnoliopsida; Solanales; Solanaceae. The record is from RNAcentral.